ACUCAAAGGAAUAGACGGGGGCCCGCACAAGCGGUGGAGCAUGUGGUUCAAUUCGAUGCAACGCGAAGAACCUUACCUGCCCUUGACAUCCUGCGAAGCCUGUAGAGAUAUGGGCGUGCCGAAAGGAGCGCAGAGACAGGUGCUGCAUGGCUGUCGUCAGCUCGUGUUGUGAGAUGUUGGGUUAAGUCCCGUAACGAGCGCAACCCCUAUCCUUAGUUGCCAACAUGUAAUGGUGGGGACUCUAAGGAGACUGCUGGUGAUGAACCGGAGGAAGGUGGGGACGACGUCAAGUCAUCAUGGCCUUUAUGGGCAGGGCAACACACGUGCUACAAUGGUGCGUACAGAGGGUAGCCAACCCGCGAGGGGGAGCCAAUCUCAGAAAGCGCAUCGUAGUCCGGAUUGGAGUCUGCAACUCGACUCCAUGAAGUUGGAAUCGCUAGUAAUCGCGAAUCAGAACGUCGCGGUGAAUACGUUCCCGGGCCUUGUACACACCGCCCGU
RNAcentral lists this ribosomal RNA (499 nucleotides) under uncultured bacterium. RNAcentral describes it as "partial 16S ribosomal RNA". It matches the Rfam family "Bacterial small subunit ribosomal RNA", at positions 899 to 1397 of the family's 1533-position model. The record is from RNAcentral.